CCUGAAUUUUAAUUCUUGAAAAUUUUGUUGCAAGUUUGUGUUUUGGUUCUGGAAUCAAUUUUAUUAUGUGAUUUAGUUUUGUAUUGAUAUUUUUUGUAUCUGAUAUUGGGUGAAGAAUAGUUAUACCUUUGAGAAGGUUUUGGGUAUUCAUAAAAGUAACAAAAUAGUAUGUUGCCAUAUAAACAUGAAAAUAAAUACGUUAUAGCAAGUUUUAUUUAUUUUUUCCCUUUCCCAUUUUCCCUUUAUAGUUCUUCACCUUCAGCAAGCAAGGAUGUUAGUUGGUAGUAGAAUUAGGACAUGCACGUUUAUUACAUUGAUCUAUCACUCACAAUUAUUUUCUUUAUUAUUAAUUAAUCGCAUCAUUUUUGAAUGAUUUCAUAUUGAAGGGUAAGAAGUUAUUUAGAAUCUAAUUGAUUAAUGAUUUGGACAAUGUGUAAUUUGUGUUUGUGGUUGUGAAUAAGGUGGUGCCAAGAAAGUUGUUUUUUCUGUCCAAAGAAAGUUGUUCUUCAACAUCAUUCCUAGCAGAACUAGAGCUGCCAAGGCAUUGGAUGAAAUGAGGAGAAAUAUUACUCUCACGGUUUUUCUCCCUCCCUCUCAUUGUGAUUUUUAUUUUUGUGAUGUUAAUUGUUGUAAAAUAUGUUUAGAGAAUUGUGAGCAUUCCAUUAGUAUUGCACUUUAGUCUCUUGCUGCUGCAUUUCAAUUUUGUCACUCAAUAUUCAUAAUACUAAGAGUUCCUUUUAAAUUACUUUCUUAAAAGUAAUAAUAAUGUUCUUGUGCAUCAUAAAUAUCUUCAAAAAAAUUGUUAAAAAGGAAAUGUAUUUGCAUUUUGAAUGAAAAUGCUGAUGAGGAAAAUGGUUUAAAUUUAUAGACCAUUUUAAGAAUUUAAUAUUCAAGACAUAAUAUAAAUCAGGCUCAGGAAAAGAUCAACAACCAUCUGCAUAUGAAAUCUUGAUUUUUCAUCCUUCAUCAUUUACUAAUGAAUCAUGCUCUUUUUCAUCCUAUUUAUAGUUUUUCAUUUCAAGGAGUGAUAAAUAGCUAGCAGGGGUAUUCUAUGUAAUUCAGAUCAAGAUACUCUUAUCAAGGCUUACUUUCUGCUACGAGCCAGUAUAUUGAUUUGACGACCUCCUG
Vicia villosa (hairy vetch) is the source of this 1128-nucleotide long non-coding RNA. RefSeq lists it as uncharacterized. The record is from RefSeq and is a predicted model, not a curated record. The transcript is spliced from 3 exons. Lineage: Eukaryota; Viridiplantae; Streptophyta; Magnoliopsida; Fabales; Fabaceae.